GCAAAUAUAUAAAUCAUUUAUUUAUUAGCCAAACGGAGGCUAUUAAACAUCGAAUUUGUAACAUUCCACUAACAUCACAUAAACUCCUUUUCCACUUAAUCUUGUGUUUACGUCCCAGUCGAGAUAUUGGAGAUGGCUUAUGCUGCUACACUUUCACUUACUCAAAGGCUAGAGCAGAUCUUGAAUCCUGAUGAUCAACGUCCGACUCUUCUUCAUCAAACAGACUCACAGAUGUUAAGAUCUCUCGAUGAAAAUCUUAGCUUCUUG
RNAcentral lists this long non-coding RNA (267 nucleotides) under Olea europaea (common olive). RNAcentral's name for it is "long non-coding RNA (OEUR_LNC003708)". Lineage: Eukaryota; Viridiplantae; Streptophyta; Magnoliopsida; Lamiales; Oleaceae. The record is from RNAcentral.